RNAcentral lists this long non-coding RNA (405 nucleotides) under Physcomitrium patens. Its description in RNAcentral is "long non-coding RNA (PPAT_LNC000005)". Lineage: Eukaryota; Viridiplantae; Streptophyta; Bryopsida; Funariales; Funariaceae. The record is from RNAcentral.
CGGCAUGCUUGAGAGAUUGAUGGAGGCUCAGAAAGUGCUCCACAGAGGGUUGUGGAUGAUCGAUCCGAGCAACAGAGCACAGCUCUGCAAACAUGCUGCACAGUUCGCAAGCAACACAUGGGUAACUCCUACAAUCCGAUUUGUUUCGACUGCGAAACCAUUAUGAUGCAACAACAACAACACAUAAUAAUAAUAAUAAUAAUAAUUUUAAACAAAAAAAAAAAAAAAAAAAAAAAAAAAAAAACUGUGUGUUGUAUCAGUUGCAGAGACGCAGUAGUUCAAGUGAGGAAUAGGGUUUCCAAUUUGCUUGCCUGAGACUUCGAAGAACGCUCUCCGCUGCUGAAGCUUCUUGGAGGGCUUCAACCGCAGCCAACGCUGCAGCCUCCCUUGAUUGCAUGGCUUCCU